This 484-nucleotide ribosomal RNA is filed under the name uncultured bacterium. Its description in RNAcentral is "partial 16S ribosomal RNA". It matches the Rfam family "Bacterial small subunit ribosomal RNA", at positions 30 to 507 of the family's 1533-position model. The record is from RNAcentral.
AUUGAACGCUGGCGGCAGGCCUAACACAUGCAAGUCGAGCGGAUGAAGGGAGCUUGCUCCUGGAUUCAGCGGCGGACGGGUGAGUAAUUCCUAGGAAUCUGCCUGGUAGUGGGGGAUAACGUCCGUACACGGGCGCUAAUACCGCAUACGUCCUUAGGGAGAAAGUGGUGGAUCUUCGGACCUCACGCUAUCAGAUGAGCCUAGGUCGGAUUAGCUAGUUGGUGGGGUAAAGGCCUACCAAGGCGACGAUCCGUAACUGGUCUGAGAGGAUGAUCAGUCACACUGGAACUGAGACACGGUCCAGACUCCUACGGGAGGCAGCAGUAGGGAAUAUUGGACAAUGGGCGAAAGCCUGAUCCAGCCAUGCCGCGUGUGUGAAGAAGGUCUUCGGAUUGUAAAGCACUUUAAGUAGGGAGGAAGGACAGUAAGUUAAUACCUUGCUGUUUUGACGUUACCAACAGAAUAAGCACCGGCUAACUACGUG